RNAcentral lists this ribosomal RNA (237 nucleotides) under uncultured bacterium. RNAcentral's name for it is "partial 16S ribosomal RNA". It matches the Rfam family "Bacterial small subunit ribosomal RNA", at positions 99 to 334 of the family's 1533-position model. The record is from RNAcentral.
CGAACGGGUGAGUAACGCGUGAGGAACCUGCCUCAAAGAGGGGGACAACAGUUGGAAACGACUGCUAAUACCGCAUAAGCCCACGGCUCGGCAUCGAGCAGAGGGAAAAGGAGUGAUCCGCUUUGAGAUGGCCUCGCGUCCGAUUAGCUGGUUGGUGAGGUAACGGCCCACCAAGGCGACGAUCGGUAGCCGGACUGAGAGGUUGAACGGCCACAUUGGGACUGAGACACGGCCCAA